GACGAACGCUGGCGGCGUGCCUAAUACAUGCAAGUAGAACGCUGAAGCGAGGAGCUUGCUCUUCUUGGAUGAGUUGCGAACGGGUGAGUAACGCGUAGGUAACCUGCCUUGUAGCGGGGGAUAACUAUUGGAAACGAUAGCUAAUACCGCAUAACAAUGGAUGACACAUGUCAUUUAUUUGAAAGGGGCAAUUGCUCCACUACAAGAUGGACCUGCGUUGUAUUAGCUAGUAGGUGAGGUAACGGCUCACCUAGGCGACGAUACAUAGCCGACCUGAGAGGGUGGUCGGCCACCCUGGGACUGAGACCCGGCCCAGACUCCUACGGGAGGCAGCAGUAGGGAAUCUUCGGCAAUGGGGGCAACCCUGACCGAGCAACGCCGCGUGAGUGAAGAAGGUUUUCGGAUCGUAAAGCUCUGUUGUAAGUCAAGAACGAGUGUGAGAGUGGAAAGUUCACACUGUGACGGUAGCUUACCAGAAAGGGACGGCUAACUACGUG
This 497-nucleotide ribosomal RNA is filed under the name uncultured bacterium. RNAcentral describes it as "partial 16S ribosomal RNA". It matches the Rfam family "Bacterial small subunit ribosomal RNA", at positions 28 to 507 of the family's 1533-position model. The record is from RNAcentral.